This is a small nuclear RNA of Mesocricetus auratus (golden hamster), 107 nucleotides long. Lineage: Eukaryota; Metazoa; Chordata; Mammalia; Rodentia; Cricetidae. The record is from Ensembl.
GUGCUCGAUUCGGCAGCACAUAUGCUAAAAUUGGAAUGAUACAGAGAGGGUUAGCAUGGCCCCUGUGCAAAGAUGGCAUGCAAAUUCAUGAAGUGUUCCAUAUUCUU